RNAcentral lists this long non-coding RNA (407 nucleotides) under Rattus norvegicus (Norway rat). Its description in RNAcentral is "long non-coding RNA NONRATT008947". The record is from RNAcentral. Lineage: Eukaryota; Metazoa; Chordata; Mammalia; Rodentia; Muridae.
GAAGGACGGAGGCUCCCACAUAGACGCGACGGUCUCACCCCAUCCACAGGAGCCCAUGCUGGCAGCCUCCCCUCGCAUGCUGCUCCCUUCUUCUUCUUCCUCGAAGCCACCGGGCUUGGGCACUGGGACGCCCCUGUCCACUCACCACCAGAUGCAGCUCCUCCAGCAGCUCCUCCAGCAGCAGCAGCAGCAGACACAAGUGGCUGUGGCUCAGGUUCUCCUCAGCCUCCUCCCUUCUUCCCAGACUCCACUCUCAUGGGCUUGACGCACCUUCCCUAGCGAGGGGCUCAGGGCAGGUUUAAAACCUAGGGAGCUCCAAGGAACUGCUCAUGCUCUUGGUUCACUGCUCGUUGGGAUUCCGGGAAGUGAAAGGGGAGGGGGACAGAUGGGGACUGCGGUUAAAAUGG